RNAcentral lists this ribosomal RNA (195 nucleotides) under uncultured prokaryote. RNAcentral's name for it is "partial 16S ribosomal RNA". The record is from RNAcentral.
UCGCAAAGUAAGAGCUUCUCGAGCUGCGCAAGGAUAGGUCGAAUUUUCUCAUUUUCCGCCAGCAGUCCACUUCGAUUUAAUUCGUAAACAAGCAGUAGUAAUUCCUGCUUUAUCAAGAUAAUUUUUCGACUCAUCAGAAAUAUCCGAAAGUGUUAACUUCUGCGUCAUGGAAGCGAUAAAACUCUGCAGGUUGGA